Molecule: RNA transcript, 1808 nt
Organism: Lotus japonicus
Lineage: Eukaryota; Viridiplantae; Streptophyta; Magnoliopsida; Fabales; Fabaceae
Gene name: protein DETOXIFICATION 21-like
Exons: 9
Source: RefSeq, a predicted model, not a curated record
AAAUGGAAGGAGAUUCUAAGCUGCAGAAGCUGCUGACUGGAGUGAAAACAGCAAAGGAUGCUGAAGAAGAGGAGUUAUCAUUGGUGAAGAGGGUGUGGAAUGAGAGCAAAGUGAUGUGGAUUGUGGCAGGUCCAGCUAUUUUCACAAGAUUCUCCACUUUUGGUAUCAAUGUUAUUAGUCAAGCAUUUGUUGGUCAUAUUGGAUCAAGGGAACUUGCUGCUUUUGCUCUUGUUUUCACUGUUCUCAUCAGAUUUGCUAAUGGUGUUCUGUUAGGAAUGGCCGGUGCAUUGGCAACACUCUGUGGACAAGCAUAUGGUGCAAAAGAGUAUGGCAUGAUGGGAGUGUAUCUUCAAAGAUCAUGGAUAGUUUCAUUUUUAGUUGCACUCGUUCUUCUUCCGGUCUUCAUCUUCACGACCCCAAUUCUGACCCUCCUAGGCCAAGAAGAAAGCAUAGCGCAAGUGGCUGGAACCAUUUCCCUCUUGAUGAUUCCUGUCAUGUUUUCUUUCAUUGUCUCUUUCACUUGCCAGCAAUUCCUGCAAUCUCAAAGCAAGAACAACAUCAUCGCGUUCAUGGCAGCUUUCUCAUUAACUAUUCAUGUGAUCCUCUCUUGGCUUUUGACAAUAAAAUAUAAGUUUGGGAUUGUUGGUGCUUUAUCCUCAACAAGUUUAGCAUUCUGGAUUCCCAACAUUGGUCAACUUAUUUUUGUCACUUGUGGUUGGUGCCCUGAAACAUGGAAAGGUUUCUCAUUUUUAGCAUUCAAAGAUCUUUGGCCUAUUUUCAAGCUCUCUCUUUCAUCCGGUGCCAUGUUAGCGCUUGAGCUAUGGUACAACACAAUUUUGGUUCUAUUAACAGGCAACAUGGAAAAUGCAGAGGUUGAAAUUGAUGCUCUAUCCAUAUGUCUCAACAUCAAUGGAUGGGAAAUGAUGAUAUCUCUUGGUUUCCUGGCUGCAGCAAGUGUUAGAGUGGCAAAUGAGCUUGGAAAAGGAAGCUCCAAAUCUGCAAAGUUCUCUGUAGCUGUAUCAGUGCUAACAUCCUUCACCAUUGGCUUCGUUCUCUUCUUAUUCUUCUUGUUUUUUAGAGAAAAACUUGCUUAUAUAUUCACCAAAAAUCAAGAUGUGGUCAAUGCUGUUGGGGACUUGUCACCUUUGUUGGCAGUUUCUAUACUUCUUAACAGUGUCCAACCAGUGCUCUCAGGUGUUGCUCUGGGAGCAGGGUGGCAAAGCACUGUAGCAUAUGUGAACUUAGGGUGUUACUACAUCAUAGGUCUUCCUGUAGGAAUUGUUCUUGGUAAUGUUUUCCAUUGGCAAGUCAAGGGUAUCUGGAUUGGAAUGUUGUUUGGAACACUUGUUCAAACCAUAGUGUUAGUCAUAAUCACUUACAGAACUGAUUGGGAGGAGCAGGUAACUAUAGCUCGUAAUCGAGUUAACAGGUGGUCUAAGGUGGAACCUGAUCAUAUAUCAGAUAAUUAGUUUCAAGCCUCGUCCUAGUGCAAAAUUUGGAAACAGCACAACUCUGAAUUUUUUUUGAUUCGUAUUACUAAUGUUAUAUUGGUUGAUUGAUAGAUUUUGUGGAAGGAAUAAGGCUGGAAAGGAAAAGGAACGGAAAAGAAAUCUUUUUCUGUUUGGAAAAGACAAGAAAAUGGAGGGGGAGGGAAGUAGGAGGGUGAAUAGUGUUAAAUUCUUUUUCCGCACACCAAUGAGAGGAAAACAGGCUGGGGAACGUGACUUUCAUAUUAGACAAUAAUAACUUUCUAAUAUUAUACACUACUACCAUUUCUCUCUCUCUCUUGUGUACUAGUAAUAUUGUUU